This 1708-nucleotide long non-coding RNA is filed under the name Chlamydomonas reinhardtii. Its description in RNAcentral is "long non-coding RNA (CREI_LNC000954)". The record is from RNAcentral. Lineage: Eukaryota; Viridiplantae; Chlorophyta; Chlorophyceae; Chlamydomonadales; Chlamydomonadaceae.
CCCAUCGCUCGAAAUUUGAGCGCCCGUUCUGAUUCGUGUGAGUCGGAACGAUUGAUACAAGAGGGUACACGCCUCAUAAUUGUAUCCACUUGGCUUGAGUCCAGCUGAAGCGUCAAAGUUUGAGCGAGAAGCUCGCGAGCAAGCCGUGGCUCCCCCAAUUCCCUCGCAGACUCGCCCUGGGCAAAACCAUCGGUGGGAAUGGCCUGAUCCCCACCCGGUCCUAGCGUCAACGCGUUCGUUGUCGCCUUGGCCUCAGCAGUUGCGCCGCACAAGGGCAAGUGCGUGCGUGCCACGCCAUGGCUGCAUCCAGGCGGCGUGGUGGGCGCGCCAUGCCUGCCGCACUCUGCUACAGCGGCAGUGCUGAAGCCAGGGCCCACACGCAGCACACGCCGCGGCCGCCGCCGGACAACUCGGCACGCUGCGCUGGCUACGACAACGGGAACGCCAACUAGGUGGCGGCGCUGGCGCUGCACGGGCCGCCGCCGCCGGCGGGCAGCACGCACAGCAGCGGGAACAGCCGCCACAACGCCGGUGUCGCGGGUCCAUACAUCACCUACCUGCUGCUGCAGCGGCAAAAGCCCUGACUAGCUAGCAACCCCGCUACUCGCGCUGGGCCUGCCGUUAGCGGGGGGAAUGAGAGCGGCGCCGGGGGUACUGAGAGCAGCGGGGGGAAUGAAACCGGCGGCGGGGUGUGCGAUGGGACAGUGGUAAGGCAGGUUGGUAAAGUCCCGUAGGGUGCAGCUGAUUCCCAGAACCCAACAGAUGGCACACAUGAAACCGGCGCCGGGGGAUGUGAUCGCGGCGCCUACCAGGGGGGCCAAGAGAGGCGGGAACCGGGGGGAUGAGAGCGAGAGCGGGAGCGGCAACGUGGUUGUGUAUGGGACGGAGGGCACGUGCUGUAGAGUUUGGCCGCUUGGGUGGUAAUCAGGGCUUGGUGCGUGGUUUCAUUCCUCGCCUCGGUGCCAGGGGCUUCCGUCCCAUCCACGUCUCCUGCUGCCCAUCCCAGUGCACGUCAUCUCACUCCCAAAGCAGUUUAUCCCAUCUUAUUUAAUCUCACAUCAUCCCAUAUAUACAUGUAACUUCAGUCGCGUCUGGACGCCAACGCCGCGUAUAUAUGUAGUGCAAGAGUGUCUGUCUGUGCCGCGCACAGAACCACUUCAGGUUGAGGCCAGGUACAGGCCUAAGGAGCGAGGUUAUUCCGUUGAAAGCAUGCAAGUCAAUGCUCUCAUCGUCAUUAUUGUUCACGAAAACACCGUACUAGCCAGUGUAGCUACCGUUCUUGCAUGAGCUCACAGCCUUCCCUGUACCGUACUAUAAUGUCAACUCGCUUGCAGUUCCAUCAUUUCCGGCAUGCUCGCACACAUAGUCUCACUACGCCAGGUCCAUCAGGUCCAGCGUCCAGCCAUGCGGGGGCGGGAUGGCAUGAGAUUCAGCCCCUGAUGAUGCCUCACGCGCCGCAACCGCCGCAGCCGCCGCCUCCACAGCCGCCGCCACCUCCGCCACAGCCGGCAGCGCCGCUGCAGCCGGCGGCGCCGCCACAGCCGCCGCCGCCAUGCCCGCCGCCGAUCCAGCUGCCGCCGUCUCCGUGGGAGGCGCCGCCGCCACCACCCACAGGGUGGCACGCGUCGAAGCCAGACCAGUAGAUCUGUGCAUUGCAAGCGAGCGGAUUGUACGGCACACGCGCAUAAGCCGAAGCGAUCCAGUCGCC